CCUACGGGUGGCAGCAGUGAGGAAUAUUGGUCAAUGGGCGUAAGCCUGAACCAGCCAAGUCGCGUGAGGGAUGAAGGUUCUAUGGAUCGUAAACCUCUUUUAUAAGGGAAUAAAGUGCGGGACGUGUCCCGUUUUGUAUGUACCUUAUGAAUAAGGAUCGGCUAACUCCGUGCCAGCAGCCGCGGUAAUACGGAGGAUCCGAGCGUUAUCCGGAUUUAUUGGGGUUAACGGGUGCGUAGGCGGCCUUUUAAGUCAGCGGUGAAAUUCUGUGGCUCAACCAUGGAAUUGCCGUUGAAACUGGGAGGCUUGAGUAUGUUAGAGGCAGGCGGAAUGCGUGGUGUAGCGGUGAAAUGCGUAGAUAUCACGCAGAACCCCGAUUGCGAAGGCAGCCUGCCAAGCCAUGACUGACGCUGAUGCACGAAAGCGUGGGGAGCAAACAGGAUUAGAUACCCUAGUAGUC
This 460-nucleotide ribosomal RNA is filed under the name uncultured bacterium. RNAcentral describes it as "partial 16S ribosomal RNA". It matches the Rfam family "Bacterial small subunit ribosomal RNA", at positions 338 to 795 of the family's 1533-position model. The record is from RNAcentral.